RNAcentral lists this ribosomal RNA (500 nucleotides) under uncultured bacterium. Its description in RNAcentral is "partial 16S ribosomal RNA". It matches the Rfam family "Bacterial small subunit ribosomal RNA", at positions 30 to 523 of the family's 1533-position model. The record is from RNAcentral.
AUUGAACGCUGGCGGCAGGCCUAACACAUGCAAGUCGAGCGGAUGACGGGAGCUUGCUCCUUGAUUCAGCGGCGGACGGGUGAGUAAUGCUUCGGACCGUGCCCAGCAGUGGGGGAUAAGGCAGCGAAAGCUGUGCUAAUACCACAUACGAUACGUGGAUGAUAGCGGGGGACCUUCGGGCCUCGCGCGAUUGGAGAGGCGGAUAUCAGAUUAGGUAGUUGGUGGGGUAAAGGCCAAACAAGCCGACGAUCUGUAGCUGGUCUGAGAGGACGAACAGCCACACUGGGAUUGAGACACGGCCCAGACUCCUACGGGAGGCAGCAGUGGGGAAUUUUGGACAAUGGGCGCAAGCCUGAUCCAGCAAUGCCGCGUGCAGGAAGAAGGCCUUCGGGUUGUAAACUGCUUUUGUACGGAGCGAAAAGGCUCCCUCUAAUACAGGGGGCUCAUGACGGUACCGUAAGAAUAAGCACCGGCUAACUACGUGCCAGCCGCCGCCGUAA